RNAcentral lists this ribosomal RNA (467 nucleotides) under uncultured bacterium. RNAcentral describes it as "partial 16S ribosomal RNA". It matches the Rfam family "Bacterial small subunit ribosomal RNA", at positions 28 to 507 of the family's 1533-position model. The record is from RNAcentral.
GAUGAACGCUGGCGGCGUGCUUAACACAUGCAAGUCGAACGGAAAGGCCAGUGCUUGCACUGGUGCUCGAGUGGCGAACGGGUGAGUAACACGUGGGUGAUCUGCCCUGCACUUUGGGAUAAGCCUGGGAAACUGGGUCUAAUACCAGAUAGGACCAUGCUUUGGAUGGUGUGGUGGAAAGUUUUUUCGGUGUGGGAUGAGCUUGCGGCCUAUCAGCUUGUUGGUGGGGUAAUGGCCUACCAAGGCGUCGACGGGUAGCCGGCCUGAGAGGGUGUACGGCCACAUUGGGACUGAGAUACGGCCCAGACUCCUACGGGAGGCAGCAGUGGGGAAUAUUGCACAAUGGGCGCAAGCCUGAUGCAGCGACGCCGCGUGGGGGAUGACGGCCUUCGGGUUGUAAACUCCUUUCGCAGCUGACGAAGCUUUUUGUGACGGUAGGUUGAGAAGAAGCACCGGCUAACUACGUG